Phascolarctos cinereus (koala) is the source of this 3209-nucleotide long non-coding RNA. RefSeq lists it as uncharacterized. Lineage: Eukaryota; Metazoa; Chordata; Mammalia; Diprotodontia; Phascolarctidae. The record is from RefSeq and is a predicted model, not a curated record.
GAGGUAGGCAAGGAUAAGAGAAAGAAGAACCAGGUAGGGGGGAUUGAUGGGGAGAAGCACUGAGCAUCGAGACAGCUGUGAUUAGCUGAGGAGCAUUUAAAGGAAAAAUGUUUCCAUGAAGAUACGAAGAGGAGGAACAAAGAUAAACUGGGCCCACUCAACAGAUGCAGGCUCCAGUGGUCACAGUUACUGCACCCAGGGAGCCCACACAGUAGGGAGUGAGGGGUGUAUAGCCACUGCUUCAUGGAGAGAAAAGGACCAGGGAUCACCCAUAGUCCAAGGGACAGUCAGCACCUUUCCUAUAUCAAGGAAGAUAGCCAACGCCAGCCUCAGGCAGAACCAGACCCAGCCUUCCUAUCCUGAACCCUGAAGGAGGCCCCCAGAGAACCUUGGCAUUUUUAUCAAAGGACAGUAGCUGAAAUUUUCCCGUUCGUGCUGUGCUGCUUGGCUAGUGGCCUCAUCCCCGUGUUUUACAGACCCAUAUUUCACAAACACCCAAGAGGGCUCACUCUACCACUUGGUUAUGAUACUGGACUUUGAAAACUAGACAGGCUACUCUGUACAGCAGCAAAACAGAAAAAUAAUGGCCUGAACUUAGAAGAUGACUCUAGGCAAAAUGAACAGAAGACAGACAGUACCUCUACAGAAAAAUACAUUUUGGCCUGGACCUGUGAUUUCAUUAAUAUAGGGAUUCCUAGUAAGGAACUCCCCUCUACCAAUGCAGGGUGAUACAAUGUACCUGGCAGGUCCAGGGAAGGGAGACAUUUCUGCCUGAUGUUCUCUAACCAACCCUCUCUGAAGACGGCUACUCACCUGCUCCUGGGAAUUCAUUACCCGUAGCUUCAUCUGCUUCAGGGCCACCAUUCUAUGCCUCUAUGUCCCAGCUACCAAGGAAAUGCAUUAUACAACCAACCAAGUCCUCAGAAUCAUAGAAUCCUAGAGCUGGAAGGGCCUUCCAAAGUCACCUCCUCCAGGAGCAUUGGUCUACACCCAAGAUGAUGUCUGAGAUCUCUGCCAGCAGCUCCAAAUUCCACAAUGCUAAGUGCUACAAGAGUUUCAGAGGACAGCAAGAUCACUUUCAGUCAUGGUGCUCAAAAGAAGGCUUCAGAGAUGGCAUUUGGGAUGAAUGUUUGGAGAUGAAAGGGAAUCCAAGGACGUGGAACUUUCCAAUGGCUCGGAUUGGACGUCCCAUUCUAGCCAGUUCAAACUUAGGAUCCUAUCUGUCAUCAGCCAAUCUCAACUGCCAAGAUGCUGCACAGGAAAGGAGAUGACCGCCUGUGGUAACCAAACCAUGCAGGGGCUACAAGACCAACACCUUAAAUUGUCUUCCAACAGAGCUGGCACCAAGGUUAUGCAGUUGCUACAGUGCAUUUGGGGACCAUGAUUUUUGAACCCUAAAUUGGGACCUCUGUUUGGAAAGAGGACAUUUCUUUUAAAAUGUCUUGUGAAAAGCAUACUUUCAUUUCUUGAAAUCAGGACAGUCCCAAGAAAUCUAGGAUGGUUAGAUGGUGUCCACAAAUAUGCCCUAUGUAGUCACAGUUGAAAGACGAGAGUACUAUGUUGGGUAAGAUUUUGGGUGGUCUCCAAGGAACAGAAGAAGCAACAGAUGUAACAGAAAGAGAAUCAAACAGGGUCAGGAGGCCUGGUUUUCCAGUCCCGACUGUGUGUGUGUGAUGGUGGGGGUGGGGGGAACUCAGGGCAAGUCCCCUCGCCUCUCUGGACUUCUGUUCCCUCCUGAAGGGAUUUGGACCAGCUGAUCUGCAAAUACCAAAGCACAGGAUGAUGGGAUUUAGAGCUGGGAGGCACCUUAGAAGUCCUACAAUCCAACCUGAGACUCAGAGGGGCAAACUGAUUUGCCCAAGACAGUGAAGUAAUAAGUAUCAGAAUCAGCAUUCAAACCCAUGUCCUUCUAACUCCAAAUUCAGUGUCCUUGCCACUAUAAAAAUCUGAAAUCUCUAAUGUUCCUUUCACCUCUAAUGUCCCAUGGCAACACAGUCAACUCUAUGGAAUUCAAGGAACAAGUCACAAGACAGCAAUACCUUUGGCAAAAGCUGAAUCUAAAGAGAAGAUAAUCAUCUUCAUUCUAAUGAGGCUGGAAAUACUUAUCACUACCAGUAGCUGCAAACAGUCACAACCCCUGGACACCCAAGUAGAGUAGUUGAGGGAAGAAAAAACAUCUUCACUCUAUCCUUAGGAUGCUUUUCACAACCAACUCACUUCUGUCUCGUGCCAAAAUUAGUUUGAUCUGGAUCAUGCCCCUGAGCUGACUUGGCACCAGCACUUGGCACAGUGCCUGGCACAUAGUAGGUGCUUAAUAAAAGUUUAUUGACUGACUGACUACAACAGCAAUGCCAACUCUAUUGCACCAGCAAGUCAGAUGAAAAGAUGGAACAAAGUUUUGUAUUUGUGAUACUAUACCGAAAAAAAAAAAAAGCAAAACUCCUGAUUCUAAUAUUCCAAGAACUCCACCUUCCCUACCUUGUUUCCCACAACUUCAGUUCAUGUGUUUCAUAUUCCAGACAAACGGGAUGGUCUCCCAUACCCCAUUCUUUUUCUAAUUUCUGGGUCUUAGUUCAUCAAAUCCCUCAUAUCUAGAAUGCACACACUUUUUCUUCCUUCCAAUUCUGCCUGUUGAAAUUCCCCUUCAGGGGCCAUCUCCUUUAUGAAGCCAUCCCUGAUCUCUCUGAUGGAAUUUAGUUCUCCCCCAUUUAAGUUUUUCUUAACUUUUAAAUUAGUCUUCUAUUGUACACUUAUCACAUCCUAAUUUAUAUCAUAUCUGUUUGAAAGCUUUAUAUUUCCCCUUUUAAAUAAGAUCCUUGAGAACUAAGAUUCUCAUUAAUUUCUCUAUUCUCAAUCUAAUAGUAUGCUAUGUACCUAGUAGGUGCUCAAUGUUUCUUGGAUUGAAUUAUUAGGUUAUUCCUCUGGGUUAAAGAAAGACCUUAAUGUGGAGACUAUUUCUUCUAUCCCCCCCCAGUAAUAUCACACAAAUUUGGAUCUAUAGAAUCAUAGCAUAGAAUAGAACUAUAGGGCUGGAAGGACCCACAGAAUUAGAUCCACAAAACAUCAGAGUUAGAAAGUACCUUGGAAUAGUAGCAUCAAAUUUAGAUAGAAGCAGGGACAACUAACCCAUAUGUAAAGAUCCUUGUAGUAGGCAUAUUGACUUAGAAAAUCACAUAUUAGCAUUACCUGUGUUUUACUGUAUUUUUAUU